GUGGGAGUUGUAGUCCGCGGCGGAGAGGCGCCGGCUCGGGCGGCGCGGACUGGGAGCGGCGGGGCGCGGACGGCGUGGACCAACGGCAGCGAGCAGCAUUCACCCAGGAUGGACUGCAGGUCACGCAGGAAGUAGCCGUGCGAGACACCUCCACCCCAAACAAGACACCGGGUUGCCAUCGCUUGCCACGUUCAGAGCUGAGAAUCCGCAUCCAAGCCUGGGAUGGCUGGAGCUGUGCACAGGUAGAGUGCUCCCUUAAAGGCAUGAAUCAUCUGGGCUCUCAGUCCAUACCCAGGAGGGCCGCCCCGGGAAGGAGCCGAGAUGCCUGUGGGGUUUGUGUGGGACCUGUCCAUCUGUCCGGCUGUGCCCUGCCCCACCCAGGAACCACCGCAAGCCCCGUGCCAGUGUGAUACCAGCCUAUGCUGAGCCCACGCGGGAGCCCGCUCCACGUUGUCCCCUGUGGGCCACCACGGGGGCGGGCGUUGACCCUGGGAGUUGAGGGACAUGUAAAAGACUGCCUCCAAGGGGACAGUGCCCCUCCGAAGGUUGCUGGGGAUCAUGCAGACUCACCUCCUGCCAGCUUGCACCUCGGGAGGGCCCAGGCCAAGCCGACCCUGACUGGUAGCACCCCCCAUUCACCAUGACCCCAGGGUCCCUGGAAACAUUGACUUCCUAGUAAAUGGUUUUAGUCUCAGGCCUAGAAAAGGAUGCCAAUGUCACGUAGGAAGACGUUAGGAACGGUCUCUGCCAAGAACAGCAAGCAGCAGUGGCCACGAGUGAAGGGCCCACCUCCUCUUUCAUGCAGCAGCCCACGGCGGGCACGCACACCGCCCGCCGAGCACCAAGCAGCAGAUGACCGUGAUCCGGGACCCCAGGCACACGCGGGGCUUUCGGGACAGCCCAGGCUCAGCAAACACAAGUCGGUGUUUCGUGUCCCAUGUGCAUGUUUAUUUCUUUCAAAGACUAUUCAUGUUCCAGACACAUCUUCCACAGUUCGGUUUAAAGUGCUACCGAGGAAUACAAUCACUGUCCAGCAAAUUCAUCACCACACUUAAGCAUCAAGCCAGACCUUGCCACAUACCUUGAAAACCUUUCAUUUUCUUCUUUUUAAAAAAAUGUAGCUUUGAUGUGCUAUUGGGUGGGGGGUGGGGGGGUACCUACAAGGCCAACUUGUAAAUGGUACAUGACAGCAGUUGCAAGCUGGGUGAACUGGGCAGGUCGACGUAUUCCGGAUGCCUCCUCACAUAAAACAGGAAUGCGGAAGAGAAGGGCCCGGGGGGGACCUGAGUUUGCUUUGCACAACGUAGCGGCACCAGCGUGUCCAUGCCACGUGCUUUGGUAGUCGGGCCUGAGCAGGUAUGGGCAGGGGAGGGAGGGCCUGGCAUCGGGGUCUACACCAGUGUGAGACCUGCUUUCCACCCAGCGGACAUCAACGUUCUGACUUCCAGGCGCCACCAGCUUGUGCUCUGACGUGUCAGGACUGUGAGGCUCUUACCAGGAAAACCCCCACACCUGCUGGCAGCGAUAUAAAUUCAUGUGUCCUUUCUGCUCAAGAAGAAAACUUGCAACUCUCUUCUGAAGAGGCAGCCAGUAAAACCAAUCAGAGACGGAGACAGGCACCUAAUCUGUGACUGGUGGGCAGCAACUGGCCGCCGAGCUCUCAGGAGGAAUCAAGGGCUGGCUUUAAACUUAAACUUGAGAGUUGAUUUAAAUAAAGGACUGUCUAAACCGUCUUCUUCACAGCGGGUUUCCAACGGGACGAUGAGAUCGGUGGUUUUGUUAUUGCUACAUUAAUAACACACACACACACACACACACACUUCAAGCUCCCUUGCAUUCCUCUGCAAACACAAGUGGAUCUUUGAAUGCAGGGCACUGCCCCAGCUCACAACCAACGUGAGCAUCUGGUUCCAGACAUGCAGACACACAUUCCUAUUAGCGUUCGUGAGAAAUCACUCCAAAACACCACUUUGCAAAAAUAUCAUGAACGCAAAACAGAAACAAAAGCUCUUGUGCCCCUAAAGCAUAAGGAAAGGCAAGGGAAUAAGGUGAUUUACAGAUUGGUAUGUUUAGCAUUUGGUGUAUAAUCUUAAUUGACAUGUACCCUUCAUAACAUUUACUUUCGCAUAAAUACCUACACCAUUAAAGCACAGGCCUGGAUAAACAGCCAGGAAAGAAGCAUUCACAGUAUCAACACGGCCCAUUUUCUCAUGGUGCUAUGUUCACGCACCCUUCCGUGCUCUCUUGGGUGUCCUGUAAGUUCAGAAAAGGCCCUCAGAGGAAGAAAACGUGUGUGCGUCUUGAGGGGGGUGCUCCUGGAUCUGACUCAGAGGUACGGGGCUCUUGAUGUGUGCCCAACAGACACACGGAAACACGGAUCUCCUUAACGCUCUCCACCUCUCGUGGGACGGUCCUGCGUCCCAUGCGGGACAGACAGCCCACCUGUCGCUUGCCCGGGACCCGGAAGAGGCUUUAAGUCACCAGGAAGUUGAGAAACCAAGAAAACCCUUGGCAAAAAGAUUACACAGUGAACAAAAUGCUCAUGGGGUCAAUCAGGAAUGGGAAUGGCUAAGACAUUUUUUGUUGAGAGCAAGGAAGUGGCAACGUAAAACUGAUCCCAUCACAUUGAAUAAAUUGAGUUGAUCUGAACUUCAGAAUCAAACAAAAAACUGUGCUAAAGACUUCUGAUCUCUGCCUGAAAUUCUGACACAUAAUGUCCUCUGAGAAUUAAUUUUUGAAUGUCCCAAGUGCUGCCUACCCCGGGGCGGGGGGGGGGGGGGCAGGAAAUAAUCCUCCACUAAGACAAAACAAAGUGACCAAAUGGGUUCCAAAAAGACUAGUAGUGAUUACCAACCUGCGGAGACUAACUUGGUAUAAUGACAUGUUGGAACGCCUGGUGCUGUUUCACGAGGUAACGAAAAUCAAAAGUCCCUGUAAAAACUCAUCUUACAGUCACCUGGUAAUUCCUGGGACCCCGGGGCAUUUCUGAGUGUGUAUUUCAGAGUAAAAUUCUUCACGUAGUUUUAGAAUCUCUCCCUCAAGAAAAAGGGAAAAAAGUUCCGUAAUCUGGGUUUUCGGGAAGGUUUUUUUUUUCGGCAGUGGCUCCGUUACCCCAAAAGACGUGUUUUGGGGUCAACAAAAGCGCUUGUGAGAAGGAGCGCCCCCAAUUUCCUAUCCGUGACAGAGGUCAGGCUUCACGAUAGCCUUUUAAAUCUUAUCAGAAGAAAGCGAAUCUCACUGAACCAUCCAGACGGUUCACAGGGACGGCCACAGCCCUAACCAGCUCGUCCCUGGCAGUGGCACCUUCGGGCGGAUGGGCCAGUGGCGCGGACACACGGACAGGCGGACGGACGACCGUGGCGUGAAGGGUACACAGAGAUACGCACAUGGCGGGCCACGUUUAUCUGUUUUUUUUUUUUUCUUUCCCCCACUGGAAACCAAAACAAGGACACCCCAAAACAUGUCAAGCGCUGUUCACAGCAGAAUUCUGGAGAGCUCCCGAAAGGACUGAUGCGACGUUUGGCCCAUUUGUUAUUAAACUUCCACCCCUAAGACUCCUACCUGAGACACACAAUAGCUUUCUCUUCUGUCCUGGAAGUUCUUUGUUUCAGCCAUCGGCAGCGUUUGGCAAACCAGCCGGGGACAAAAGGAAAACCGUGUGUGGGGUGUGGCCAUGCGGUGGGUCACUUACUGCUGCUAGCCUCACUUGAGAGCCCCCCCCCACACGAUCACGAGCACUUUGACCCUACAGAGGAAAACGUAAAAACCACAUAGGAAGUGAUAGAUCUCCCACUUGCAAACAGGCUCAAAGUAAACAUCCAGGAGAGCUCAGCAAAAUGUGCGCAGGAGAGAUUUAGUGUUUGCAUACGGUUUCAAGUUAUAUGGCUAAUAUCAAAGGCAACUACCUUCUACCUUUGUCAUAGUGUCUCUGUUACCACCGUAAUUUCUCUGUGGACCCCAAAUCCUGCCUCUGUCCCACCUCUCUGUACUCAGGGCGAGCUGUACUGUGACGCUGAGCAGUCCGUGAGGACAGGUGACCCAUCCGUUCCAUUCACAGUGACAGCACAGGGGGACACCUCCUCUUUGCGACGCGGUCCAGGCGUGGACCCAAGGUACUACGUGUCCGAGUGCAGUGCGGGUAAAAUUGAGUCCCCCACAUCUGCCCCAUCACCAUUCUUUAUAGGAUGUUCUUUAGUUCAGAACGUAAAUCUCACAUUUAACUUCAGCUCUUGGACCAGAGCACAGCCCAUGUGGCAGAGCCUUCAGAUCUCCUUUGGCAUCGGGUGGCAAAUCGGACAGUUGUCUCUGGGGGGAAACCUCCUGGCCGGAGACUUGGGUUUUCAUUGCCCUUUAACCCAGCUAGCCCAGGCGGCCGUCUGACAGCUUGCAGGGACUCUCACUCCGUCCUGGUGGGCAGUUAGGUGGGCCCGCGUCUUCCCGCAUCCUGGUGCGGCAGGCUGCCGGCUGCGGGCUCCGCCGGGGCCCCGUUCAUGGUGCUCUUACUUCUGUGUCUGGAGAGUAACUUCUUGUUCAGGAUCCUGGUGAGCGUCACCCCCUUCCUCCGGGCCCCCUCCGGCUGCUGCAGGAACACGAGGUCGUUGUGCGACUGGCUCAUGCCGGGGUCUUUCUGUUGAUGUCGCCGGCGGAAGAACAGCUUUGCGCCUUUCCUUAAAAUCCCUCCUGCAAGAGGAAAGCACAGGGGGCCAGUCAGAUGGGCUGUGGACGAAACGCCGGGACCACUAGUCCAAGAGGAAAAGAAACAAGGACAUCUGAGCGACUCUAAUAAGAGCGGUUUCUUACUUUGGUGUGCGGUCACUAUAUCCACACGGGAAAAGCAGCCGGAAUCUGGCCUGGACCAAACACCAGAGUUUUCAGGAUGAAAAGACUCUGAGCCGAGAAGCAGUGAGCUGGACUGUCAGGUGCGUCCCAGGGCAGACCUCUCUCUGAGCUCCUGGUCAAGGCCGAGGGCAGUAGGCAGUCCCUCCCUCGGGUCCCCUGGCCCCCCCACCCCCAGCAAAGAUGGCCAUGCUGUGGAAACCCCAGCAGGGUCAGAGAGCCUUCCCAGCCAGCCUGGAAUUCAUCACAUCUGCGUGUCCAUGCUGAUGGCUUUGAAAGGAGAGAGUCUGCCCAUCAGGAUGAGGAGCUUUAUGGCUAUUUGGCAAUUCAUUAUUUUCACGGUCGAGCCACCAAAUACUUGAGUAGCCCUGACAGACACCAAUGACCGAAUGUUUAUUCAGGGGGGACCACGAGGAGCAUCGGCUGGUUCUUCUCCAGGAAUGCGGGCGGACAGUGGUGGAAUCGGGCCCAGCCCUGUCUGUGGACCUUUCACAAUCAGCACUGUAGAACAGCAUGCCCGCCCAUGACUUUAAGAGGCUGCUCAUUGGGCCUGGCGCCAAGGGCGGACUUCCCGUUUGCUCUGUCCAGGCUCGGCCGCAGCACGGAGCUCAAGAGCCCCAAGGCAUAGGCUGAAUGUCAUCUGAUCAAAGCUGCUGAAAAGGUCUUUUUUUUUUUUUUUCAUUUUCUCUUUGGAUACAAUCAAACAGCCUAUUAUGCAGAAUCACGAGGGUGUGUCUACACUGAUCUAACGUGGAGAGGCUGUGUGCGGGGCUUUCCAGGACAGCGGGAAGGACAGGCAGCGGAACGUGGACUCCAAACGUGUAUGGGGCUCUACCCUCUCCACAGGCCUGCUGUGCUACGUCUGGGGGCCACGAGUGUCUGUUCCUCGAGCUGUUCAAAUCCCCGUGAGAUGCAGCCUGUCACAAGGAGUCACCAGCUGGGGUGUGUUACCCCACCAGCCACCACCACCAGCUGGAUUUGACUUUGCAGUCUGGCCGGUGGGGCAGAUGCAGGGGUGCCCACUGGUUAAUCCCCCGAUCAGAUGCCCUGGGCACCGGGAGGGGCUGCACCAUGACAGGUUACCUCGGGUCGCUGGGGCCCAGGAAGUGUUUCUAAUCUACAGGAACCUGCUUUAGGCUUAGCUUGGGGUCCCUGAAGGGCAUAUAAAUGUGGACUCUCACCUGGAUCCGUUCGGUUAACCUGGAGUGCUCUAAUCCCAUGCGCCCUGUCUCUCCAUGGGGCUAGAAGCCUGAGGGGGGGCAGAGCAACCCCUCGCCACGGUGGCUGGAGGUCAGCGGGAACAGGGAAGGUCCUAGAGGACCCCUGGAAUGGGCCCCUGCACUGAAAGUUGGUCUGGGGUCUGCAGCCAGGGGCUGGGGUGUGAGCAGGGGUGGUGUUACGGGUUGGAUCAUGUCCCUCCAGAAUUCAUAUGUUGGGGUUCUGACCCCCAGGAGCUCAGAAUGGGACCUUAAUUUAUAGACAGGUCUUUAGAGAGGUGAUUCAUCGACGGUGAAUCAGGGCAGGCGCUACACCAACACAACGGUGUUCUUAUUCAAAGGACAACUGUGGACGCAGGCGUGCCCAUGGGGAGAGUGCCGGGGGGAGGGGGGCUGGAGGCAGGGAUGGGGGUCACGCUUGUGCAAGCCAAGGAAGGUCAAGGAUGCCAGCAGACACCAGAAACCUGGGGAGAGCAUGGAGCAGAGUCUCCGUCAUGGCCAGCAGGAGGCCCUUGGACUUCUGGCCUCCGGAGCUGGGAGACUGGCCAUUUCUGAGCCCGAGGCUGUGUGGAAUGGGACAGACCAGCAUCUGGCUGCUGAGAAGCAUGGGUCUGCACCAGAUUCAGAGGAGGUGGCUGUGUUCACAGUUCUCUAAAAAGGAAAUCUACACGUUUUUAAGCAGUCACUUUAACUCUUUUAAAUGAAAUUGCACUUGGGGCGCCUGGGUGGCUCCGUCAGGUAAGCAUCUGACUCCUAGUUUCGGCUCAGGUCAUGAUCUCAGGUCAUGGGAUCGAGCCCUACAUCGGGCUCUGCACUCAGCGGGGAGUCUGCUUGAGAUUCUCUCUCUCCCUCUGUCCCUCCCCCUGACUCACAUGCAUGCUCGCUCUAAUAAAAAAAAACACUUUAGGGGCGCCUGGGUGGCUCAGUCAUUAAGCAUCUGCUUUCGGCUCAGAUCAUGAUCCCAGGGUGCUGGGAUCGAGCCCCGCAUCGGGCUCCCUGCUCGGCGGGAAGCCUGCUUCUCUCUCUCCCACUCCCUCUGCUUGUGUUCCCUCGUUUGCUGUGUCUCUGUCAAAUAAAUAAAAUCUUUAAAAAAAAAAAAAAACACUUUAAAUGAAAUUGCACUUUAAAUGACUAAAACUCAAAUUCUUGCCAUAUCAAGAUGAAAUAUCAGGGACUUCCAGCCAGUGAGUAAAAUCGGGAAAGGGAAAGACCUGUGUGCCGUAUUGACUUGAAACGUUCCUGCUGGCAGCGGUCUGUCCCACAAGCUAGGGUCAGCUCCCGUGCGUCCCACGGACAGGGCCUAUAACGGGCUGUUUUCUGUGCUUCCAUCCCCACGCAGGCUCUCCGAACAGGUCUGCAGUUCUGUUAAAUCUGACUGUUCAAUAUCCAUACGAGAACCGGAUGAUGUCCUGUGUCCCCUGGUGCACGUCAUCCUAACUCACCAAGUGUGGGUGUCCCCUAACUUGACGUGACUUGUCACAGCUUCUGUGGGGACAAUAAAAUGUGAAAGGAGGGACUGAGGUUUGCAAAUCUAUAGGCUGGAGCCCUGCUUAGGUCUUAUCCCUAGCAGUGAUGCACUCCGCCCCACUAACAAGUGCCCCAGGGCAGAAAGCCUGUGUGCUCAUGCCUGGCUCCCCUCUGCACCUAAGCGAUGCUGUCUGAGCUGGCAGGGGACAGGUCCCAGCCCUGAGAAGUGGCCAGCAGGUCUGGUAAAGGACACGUGCAUGGGCGGUCACCGGGGAAGGCCUCCUGGGAGUGGGAUGGGUCUUGGUUCUCAGAGCAUCCCAGAGCAUGGCCCUGCACUCCAACACGGACGUGGACAGGCUUCCGGAACAAUAUCAGUCUUGAGAGGCACGCUGGUAGCAUGUAUAAGACAGGACGCAAAUCCCUCCCCGAUGCACAGCUUAACUCCUCAAACGUGAAGAAUGACUAGGGUAAACGGAGGUCAUUCCGUUCUCCUUUCUAAAUGAAAACAUUAAGGUCUGUUUAAACUGGGGCACGAAUCACAGUGACCUUUGGGGUAAAUAGUGCCGGAAGCACAAGGCCACAGAGGGGACACUGACUGCGCCACUCCGCAGAGGUGUGAGGGUCCAGCACAGAAAGGCCAGCGCACUCCUCCGUCAGCAGGAAGGGUCACGGUAUGGAGCUUCCUCAGCUCCUUGGAGCCGUGGCGCUCUGUCUUCAGUGUCAGCCCGGCCAGCGCUCAUCUGUCCCCUGAAGGCAUUGGGUAGAUGCGGGGUCAACAGUGCAUUCGGCUGUCCUGGACUAGAGCGCGCUACCCUGGAUGGUGGGCGUGGCCUUCAUCCCAUCCGCUCCGUGCCUGAAGGGCCAACGCCAAGGGCUCCCUCCAGGAGAAGACAACAUUCUGUCUCCAGACGGCUGGCCUGCCCUGCAGAUUUCAGACCGUCACACCCCAUGAUGCUGUGAGCCACUUCCCUGAAAUGUAGCACCUCGCAGUUCUGUUUCUCUAGAGAACUCUGGCUAAGACAGUAACUAACAGUUUGGUAUGUCACCCUCGCCUCUGGGCCCCCAGAAUCUGUCACCUUUGCUGCUGGGGAAGUUCACAGUGCCUGAGCAGGAGCCCCAGUGGUCUGGGGUUUUUUGUUUUUUUAAAGAUUUUAUUUAUUUAUCUGAGAGAGAGAGAGAGAGAGAGAGCACACGAGCAGGGGGGAGGGGCAGAGGGAGAAGCAGGCUCCCCCCUGAGCAGGGAGCCUGAUGCGGGGCUCGAUCCCAGGACUCUGGGAUCAUGACCUGAGCCAAAGGCAGACGCUUAACGACUGAGCCACCUAGGCACCCCAGUCUGGGUUUUAUAAAGCUGAGCUCCUUUAGUCCAGACCACCUCAGCCACUCCAAGAGGCAGGAGCAAGACCCAGACCUCGCCCGCAACCUUAAGGAUCCUUCAGGUAAAAUCUGGAGAGAAGGUAUGUGAAAUUUGAAGCAAAUAGCCAACAUCUUAAAUGGGGGACAGAGAGGAGGGGAAAAAAAAAUCUUUCCCUGGUUCUAGCAAGGUUAAAAAAAAACAACCACCACAAAAGAGCCGAAGAAUAAACAAAUAGGAAGAACUUCAAAAAUAAUUAUUCUAAAUUAGAGCUUUAAUAUAGCAAAUAUUUCCCAAUUUACUCUUGUUUAUCUCCACAGACCCUAACAGACAUGAAUAGGUCACUGAAGAAUCCAUCUCAAAAUCUGAUAGGAAAACAGUGACCAGAAGUCACUUUGCACGUCGUAGUUUGCUGCCCAGAGAACAGCUCUUGAAUUCAAGCCAAACCAUAGAUUGUCCGUUUAGAAAAGUGACUGCUUGUUAGAACCAGGGCCCGGCUCAGGGAAGCGGUGUGUUUGCACUUGACGGGGUGCGAGGCUGGCUGUCCCCUGAGCUGGGGGACAGCACCCCGCCCCCCCCCCCGAGGGGUAGACGUGCUACAUUAACCCCACCAGCGCACAUCUACGGAGGAAAACGGGGACACUAGCGUCCUGGGCAGUUCACGCUGGAAAGGAACAGGAAAGAAAGGGAAGGGGAGAUCAGCUUCCUGCUGUCGCAAAAUAAGCUUUUCUCAUGGCAAGGCUGUACUCAAAUUUUUGGGGGAAAAAAGUAUAAGACAGAAAUAACUUACUGUGUAGGCAAUUAAUUCUGGUUGGCAUAGCGAUCCUCUUAAGUUAAAGGGAAUGAGCACGAGAUGACGAGAAGAGGUCAGAGGUCAAAAGAAAAGUAUGCAGGAGCAAAACAAGAAUGACAGACAGUGAGUCCCGAAGCAUUGCGCCCGCGCGCACGUGACGUUACUGGGCAGGACAUCUGGCAAGGUUUGGGGUGGCUUGGGGUUUUUUUUUUUUUUUUUUUUUUUUUUACUUUUUAGUAUUUUUCAAAGUCUCCAUCAAUACUUUUGUUCUUAUGGUAAAGUCCACAGAACACGGACUCUACCGUCUUAACCAUCUCUAAACACACAGUCAUGUUACGGACAUUCCCGUUGCUAUGAAACAACAUGGACGCUUGGUUAAGCUAAAAAUCAACCCGAAUUGGGGGGACUAGCUUCCCUGUAUUGGCUGCAGCGUCACGAUAAUGUGCAUUUCCAAUCAGCGAAACUGCAAGAGAGUUCUAAAUACGCCUGCGGUCUUGGGGACGUAUGUGAACCCCUGCUGUGACUGGACACACAGGUGGUUCUCCAGCCAGAAAAUGAGCUUCAGUUUAAAAUGGAGAGAACGUUCCAUACAGCCGCUCCCUUGAUCCCCGGGUAGAAAGCUGAAAAUCCCCAGCGCACAAAAACGCUGUGGCACCUGUAACACGUAAUCGUCUAAGGUUCUGACAACAUCUAGAGACGCGGUGUCCAAAUCUCUACGAAAACACAGGAAUAGAAGCAAGUUUGGAAGCACUGCCAAAUACAUCCCUUUACAAAUCUGACUCCACGGGCGCCACGUCCAGCGAGGUCCCCGUGCCCAGGCUCCAGGGAAGCGCCAAGCACACCUGUCAGCACCUAGGUCCCCAAGAGUGCCCUUCCGGAGGGCUGCCAUCCCCCUGGCCAGUGCCGGGAAAGGAGAAGCAUGGCCGUGGCACAGCCAGGAUGGAAACCCAUGGGAAAGAACUCUCCAGAAGGAAAGGCAAAGGGAAGGAGGAAGCAAGGGAUGAGGGGACGGUGGUCUCUGGAUGGACUCGGGGUCAGCGAGGUGCAGCCUCUCAGAGUGAACGCAGGAAGGCGGGUUGGGGGGUUGGGGUUCACGAGAAGAGGCAGCGGACUGUUGGCCAUCGGGAGAAGGAAGGGGAGGAAGGGGCGCCCCACCCUGCACCUCCUCUCCUGCUCUGCACAGCACACACGGCCUUCUUCGGGGCCAGGGGAGCUCCCCCAGGCGGUGCUGACCCCCUGGACCAGGCCAGAGGGGCUAGGCUGUCCUGCACGCUGCGGGCUUGAUGCUGCGCCCUGGCUUCUACUGCCUGGACUAAAGCUAAAGUCUCAGCUGUGGCCGCUGAGACUGUCUCAGGACGCUGCCUGGGUCCCCUGGGGGGGGGGGCACAGUCACCCAGUUGAGAACCACUGGUCCGCGGCGGCAAGAACAGAGGAGCGGAGCGAGGUAGCAGCAGAACAGCUACCGAGGUUCCCGGCCUCAGGAGCGACUGCGAUUUCCUGCGUCUGCAUUCUCGGGGGACCGGGGGGGCGAGGACUUAGUGCCGAGCCGCACCCACGACUCCCAGCUGCGCUCAGGCGCCUGCAUCCUGUCUCCUGUCCUGUCUCUGCACCGGGAUCUCCUUAUUCCUGCCUGGGAGGGGGGCGCAUCCUCACACACGGAGGAGGAGCGGAGGCUCGGGAGGCUUGACCGCCCAUCUAAGGGGGACCUCAAGCCCCUAGACUACAGUCCCUCAGAAAGGCUCUUUAGGUUACCAUCAGGCCAGAGCACUAAAUUAACCGCACACGCUGACAAAAUCUGCAAAUGCAAAGCAUCGAUUUAGUGCUGAUGGAAAACAACGGAUUAUUCUAACAACGUCACUGCUCAUCACUACACACACGUUAAGGAGUUUGCUUCCUGCGAGCAGAAAGUAAUCGGCAUACACACUGUAGCCUAAGAAUUCUGGGUGCCACCUCUCUGUGUCGAAGACAAGCACAGGUUAGCUGCCCUAACCCUUGGGGCCCGUGGGCUGGAGGGUGGGAAGGUGACUGCAAGGGGCCGGGGGCUCCCCGGGGCCGCCCCGCUGUUCACAGGGGAGCCCGCUUCCUGACAACUGCACUUGGCUGGCCAAGUGCCCACUCACUCAGGAUGGGGCCAUCUGAGCCUCCGUGAAACAUAGUAACCGCAGUGGUUUGGACACAUUAAAUGUAAGGUUUACGUGGGUUCCUAGUGAUUCCAAGAUACAGCCUUCGAGAAAGCAGAGGACGUGGUCCCAGACUCCUCGUGCCGCCGCCCCCUGCUGGCCGCCUCCGGAAGUGCACUCAGGGAGGCCCGGGGCACCAUGUGCCAGUCCUGCCAGCUGGUACUUGGCACUGGCCGCCGAGGCCCUGAGUAUAAUGGCAACACUGAUGACUGACCUCCGCACCUCCCCUGGCCCACGUCGGCAUGAGCUACAGACUGCCGCAUUCCCCUGGCCCACCUCCGGGUGCCAGCCCACCCUCCGCGUUCACCACGUCUUCUUGCUCCUCAUCCCUCACAACUAAAGCCCCUUCCUUGCUGGCGUUCCCCUUGUUCAUUCUGGGAUGUUCCACAUGCAUACAUGACCCUCGCGCGGCCCCUGGCCCCGAGGGGCUGCCCUCUCUGCUAGCCUUUGCCUGCAAACAACUUAAAUGGUUUGGAGACAUGUCGACCCGCGAGAGGGUAGCGGCUCUGUCCCCAACGGGGGCCUUAGUCAGGCCAGUCUUUCUCUUUCAAUAGCUUUUCUUCACAUGGGUCACCAACCCCUCAACAACCAGAGCAUCCUGGGCCAGAAGCCUGCAAGCUUCCUCACGAACGGGGUGAGCUUCAUAAACACAGGGCCGUGAGUGAGCCUCGUGCUGGGUGAGGAACGGGACCUGCCCUUUGCAAGGAGCUUUCUGGACAUCAUCAGGAGCUCGGGCUACCUUCCACCAGGAGGAAGCCAGGCCACCAACAGAUACGACCCCCGGGGCGCAUGGCCACACC
Long non-coding RNA from Mirounga angustirostris (Northern elephant seal), 12644 nucleotides. RefSeq lists it as uncharacterized. Lineage: Eukaryota; Metazoa; Chordata; Mammalia; Carnivora; Phocidae. The transcript is spliced from 3 exons. The record is from RefSeq and is a predicted model, not a curated record.